AUAAACUUAAUCUCAUUUCUAAUAUGAACAUGAUCUGCGAAGUAAUGGAAUUUUGUUAUAAGUAAUGCUGGUACAUAUUUUGAAAUUCGACCACUGCUAAUUUCAAUUUAAAUGAUUCAUUGUAUAUUGACCAAAAAGUAUCAGAACUGAACCGUGUAUAUAGGUAUGUAUAUAAUAAAUAUAGCCAAUACAAUAAAUGCCCAUAGGAAAUAGGUUCUUUUUGUUCACACAAUAACAAAAGGGUUGCAUUCUAACAUAAAACCAGUAUUAACUAAUCUACAUAUUUUAUAAAUGAACCAAAAGAAAUAGAGAAAACAAAUGAUACCUCAAUGGCAGGAAAUAAAUAAUAUUUUAUUACUUUUUGGCUUAGAAUUCCUUUCUGCAUUUGCGGCCUUAAAUAGCACUACCAAAAAAUAACCCUUGUCGGACCAACACCGAAGCGAGUACAGUUCUUUCGCGUUGAACAAUAACAAUCGAAAAUUAAUAAUAUUUAGUCAGGGGCGGUAGCAGUUACAAUGAAUUGGCUAAAAAAUCAAGUUUACUAAUUAUUUCCCAAUUUAUAUUUUUUUUUUACAAAAUAAUCGUUAUAUUUUAAUAUUUAUUUUUAGCUCACAAAGUAAGAAUUAUUUGAUAACAGUUAAUUAUUGCUCACAGAAUAACAGUUAUGUGUUGAGUUUUAAUUAAUUCUUGUGUAAUUAAAGUUGAGGAGUAAACAUUUUGUUUUGCCACAUACCAGCUGUUUCAUGAAUAUUACUUUCAGAUCGUAAGAUUUAAGGGGGUUGUAUGGUAAAAGCAACCUUUUUUCAAUAAUUUUUUUACACACAAAUUUUUAUUUGAGAGUUCAGGUUUUUCAUAUGUUAUUCUACAUGUAAUUGUGUCAUAAUGUUGUCAAAUAUCUAUUACGCGAGAAAAGCACGUUUAAAGAUCGCUAGCUGUGUGAUUCAAGCGCACGACACUUUGCAGCGGAUCUCAUUUUUAAAAACUCGGUUUCUACAUUAUUAUCAUUAUAUAAUCAAAUUGUAAAAAUAGUGUGGAAUGCUGGGUAUAUGAAAAAUAUGUCACAAAGCACCCCACGCUUUUCCCACAAUAAUGCAGGAAUUUUUCCUUCAUUAUUGUUGUUAGUUUAUACAAAGAAUUAUUUUUCACUUUUUAGUUUGAUAUGCUUUAAAAGCGUGUUUUUUAGUUUUUUUUUAAACUAUAUUUAUUUUUAAUUUUUUAGUUUGAUGUGAUAAACCCCAAAUUUGUUAAAAUAUGAACUGUGGCAUGUAGUAUUGUUUAAGUUUUACUCGUAACCUUUCAUUGGCAAAAAAGUAACGAUACAAACUUGGCUUAAUCCAUUUCCAUUGUUCUUGUCUAGCAAUUAUAAUUCAAGUGGUCGACUCGGAAAGUAGGUGGUAAACUAGGUAGGCGUGUUGUCUCAUUUUCCAUUUUUUCAGGUAGAGGGGUUCAAAUAUAAGAUAGGUAGAAUAUUUCUUGGGUAUUUUAUAUUAAAAGAAUCUAUUUUUUCUUUUAUGAGAUUUACCAAUAUUAUGAAAUAUAAACGAAUAUAACUUAAAUCGUAUUCUCCGCCAUUAGAUUCGGUGACAAUUUUUGAAAAGCUCACAUCGAUGUGACAGCCAAAGUUUAAAAAAAAGGAGUUUUCUAUUGCAGUUGCUUUUCGGAGGCGUUUUGAAAACUAGUAUCUUAAUUUUUUUACUACAAAAAUUCUAUUAUAAGUAUUAAUUUUUUUAUUACAUAAAAGUCACAUUUUUUGCUUUAUUUGAUAUUAUUUCUUCUGGUGCGCGGUUAUACAUAUAUACAUAUGUAUGUAUAUCUAUAUAAAGUAUACUUUCUUUAAGGAUAUACAUAUGUACAUAUAAUUCAGUAUAUACAUGCUAUUCAAAUGUCACCAAAACUAGUUUUAUAUAGAUGUUGCAUACUUUUAAGCGCAUCUUUUUAGUGAGCUGCUUAAACUUACUAUCGCCUUCCUUCAGUGUCGCUGAAAUAUUCUAGGUUUCAGUACCACUUAAAAAGUUACAAACAAACAUACAUGCAUACAAGUGAAGCUAAUAAAAUCGUAUUAAAAGAAGAAACCCGUUAGGCGGAGGGCGUUCCCUUUUCAAGUAAGAGCUCAUACUUGGAGAGCCUUUCUUAGACCUUAUCAACAAAUUUUUCGGUAUAAUAAGCGACAAAACAUUCGUUUUUUUACCCACGCUGGAACACCUUGGAGCAUUUAUACAACGUUGUCACAUCAUGAGGCAACAUUUUCUCUCUCUAUGUGUUCAGCACAAUACUUUGAGAAAAGAACACGCAACAUUUAUAACCCAUGCGUAAAGAAGCAUAAAUGCGACAUUUUUGUGUUAAAAGAAAACGCUGUUAGUGCUAGUAAUUGUUAGUAAUUUAUUUUUUAUUGUAUGCAGUAAUGCUGUAAACACAAAGGAGUCGACAGUUAUGUAGUCGAGCAGCUGCCUAAAUAACUGUGUCUAUAAAGAUGUGUGUAUUUUAAUGAUGGACAGAUGGAGGCGACAGACUUCAAGCGGCAUCUGUCCAUUUGUGUUUACAGCUUGAUGUUUACUUUUUCAUCAUGGAAAGAUAUACACAAUAACAAGGUCACUAAUUAUUCAGUUUUAUUAUCAAAAUCAUUGUUCUCCAAUUUCCCUUUUUCAUGCGCUUUAGACAUUUUAUGGUCGUAAUAAUGGUUCACAUGUCCUCUCUAUUAAUCGAAUUGUUGACAAUUUCGAGCGUACAUUCUCUUUACAUAAUAUCGCAAUUUGUCGAUUCCAAGACGUUCUCAAGAAUUGGGACUGUCUCAAACCACAACCUGGCGAAUUUUGAGAAAGUAUUGGGGUUGUAUCCUUAUACAAUUUGCUGAUUUUACUUGAUAACCAUUAAAAAAGUCUUCUCCGAUGAGGCGGCUCACUUUCAUCUGAGUGGUGCGGUAAAUAAGCAAAACUAUCAAUUUUAGUACGAAGAAAAUCAACAAAUUAUUUAUGAACAAUCAUUGCAUUCACCUAAAUUAACAGUUUGAGGUGGUUUAUUGUCUAUCAUGGGAUGAUUCCACCAUCCAAGGGGUCCAACCUUACUGUCAAUACAGAGCGGUAUAUAUCGAUGAUAACCAACUUUUUAUAGCCGCAAUUGACAACAACUGGUUUCAACAAGACGAAGCUACGUGCUACACAGCACGUGCAACAACCGAAUUAUUGUGAGAAAAGUUUGAAGCUUCGAUUAUUUUAAGAAGUUGUGACAUGGAAUUGCCUCCAAGAAGUUGUGAUUUAAUACCUUUAGACUUUUUCUUGUGGGGUUAUUUAAACUUAUUGGUCUUUAGCAAUAAACCAGAUUCUCUUCAGGCUUUAUAAUAAUAAUACCCAACGAUUACCCUCCUCCCGCCCAACCGACACGAGGGGCGCAUACGAGCGGAAUUAGCCGAGUCAUAAAAAGCAAGAGAGUUUUAAGCGUUGUGAUCUUAUGCUGCUCAGCUACAGAAACAACAAUUUCAACAGCCAAAAUAAAGAAUUAGAUUAAAGUAAGUUUAUUAUUUUUAAAUGUUACUUGUUAAGAGUAGAUAAAAUAUUUUUUUUUUUUGGUUAAAAGUGUGAGUCUGUUAGAUCAAAUGUGCUGGAAUGAGAAUUGAAAUCGUGGCAUAUACGGCGGAAUGAUUCGUUUAACUCAAAAUUUGUUCUAGAAAAUUUUAAAAGUAAAGGUCUAAACUGCCUGGUAGAGCGAGCGGGAACGUUAAAAUUAAUAUCAGAUAGGAGAGAUGGGCUACAGACUGACCCAUUCAUGAGUUUUACAAGAAAUAUUUUACCAAGCAUCUCCCUACGACUAGCGAGUGUCGGGAGAUUUAUAAGUUUUAAACGGUUAAUGUAAGGGGGAAGAUUUAAACUGGAAUCCCAAUCAGUGAUCUGCAGUGAAUGAGUUAAACACAACUUUGAGCCACUUGCGAAAAAUUGAGUAUGAAGCAAGCAAAUUAUUCACGGAAUGAGUAUAAGUGUGAAUACUGCUCACUUACAAUUAUGAGAGAGAGAGUUUUGGCUUGUGAGCUGAUUAGCUUGUAUGAAGCAUAUAUUCACAAGUGUUUGCUUAUGAGCUCACAAUACUUAUGAAUCUUUGCUUAGGAUUCUCUGACAUUCAUGAAUACAAAACACUUGUGAAUAUACGAAGAAGCUCAGUUGUGCGCAAGCCACUUGCAAGCCUUUUGAGCCGUAACGCUAUGAACCAAAGGCUAGAAAAUCCAUUACGAAAGCACUAAGAGUUACUAUUAUAUAAUUGUAUAACAAAAAGGAUUUUGUAAUUGGUUCUAACUAAUAAUGACUAGAUCUAAUGAAAUAAAAAAAGGGGUUUUCAUAUUUUGUAUUAAUUUUCUCUAUUAUUAAAAAAAUUACAUAUAUGUACAUACUUACAUUCAUGUUAUCACUUAUAAUAUUACAUUUUAUUUUAUAAAAUGAUAAUUCAGUUCCUUUCAAUGGAAUUAAAAUUAAAAAUAAAAAUUACGUCAGUUUAAUGGUAUAAAAAUUACGUGAAUUAUUAACAAAAAACAAAAUAACACAAUUCAGUUCAUUUCGGUAAAAAAAUAUAAAUACUAAACAUAAAAUUUACUUCAAGAUUUAUGUACAUACAUAAGAUUCAACUCCAAAGAUACAAGUAUAUAUUAUAAGUAUAGCUUCUAAAUAUAUAUAUAAAUUUGUAGUUUUUACGAAGUCACUAGAAUCACGGGUUUCGUUUCUUUUAAAACCCCUCCGCGUAGGUAUAAACUUCAGGGACUCAUCUACCUAAGCUCUCCACUUUCUAAAAUGUAAGAUAAAGCUUUUCAUUUAGGCUUAAGAAAUAAUUGAAAUAAAAGGAUAAGAAACAAAGAAGUUUCAGUUUUGUAGUUUUUACGAAGUCACUAGAAUCACGGGUUUCGUUUCUUUUAAAACCCCUCCGCGUAGGUAUAAACUUCAGGGACUCAUCUACCUAAGCUCUCCACUUUCUAAAAUGUAAGAUAAAGCUUUUCAUUUAGGCUUAAGAAAUAAUUGAAAAAAAGGAUAAGAAACAAAGAAGUUUCAGUUUUGUAGUUUUUACGAAGUCACUAGAAUCACGGGUUUCGUUUCUUUUAAAACCCCUCCGCGUAGGUAUAAACUUCAGGGACUCAUCCACCUAAGCUCUCCAAUUUCUAGAAUGUAAGAUAAAGCUUAAGAAAAUAAUUGAAUAAAAGGAUAAGAAAUAAAGAAGUUUCAAGUUGCAGAUCACUGAUCCCAAUGCAAAUGAUUUAAGGCAAAAAGUAAAAAUUGUUUUUGAACGGACUCUAACUUAUCCGAAUGGACUUGGUAACUAGGGUUCCAAACCACAGAAGCAUACUCCAAUAUAGGCCUCACCAGAGAUGUAAAAAGAAUUUUUGUGGUAAGUGGAUCUCUAAAUUCUUUAGACCAACGUUUAACAAAACUAAGAGCGCCUUUAGCUUUAAAAACCGUGGAAGAUGCGUGAAGAUUAAAAUUGGGUUUAGGAUCCAUAGUUACUUCCAGAUCAACAAAACUGCAUACUUGCUCCAACCUAAAGUUUUGUAUUACGUAUGAAGUAUGGUCUACAGAUCUACGUGAAAAGCACAUCGUUUUACAUUUUUUAAGGUUCAAUGGCAUGACAUUUCUAAAACACCAAGAAACUAAGUCUGUUUGAGACCGACUUCUUUUGCUAUUUGAAGUAUAUGAUUGAAAAAGUUUUACAUCGUCAGCAUAAAAUAAAACGCUUGAAUACUUAAUAACAGAUGAUAUGUCAUUAAUAAAUAACAAGAACAGAAUUGGACCAAGACGGCUACCUUGAGGAACGCCUGAAGGAACAUUGAUUAUGUCAGAAAAAGUAUCGUUAAAUAUGACUUGUUGAGUUCGAUUACUAAGAUAAGAAGCAACCCAUUUUAGAAAUAUUGGUUGAAAACCAAAAUGAUCGAGUUUAUUGAAAAGAAUUGAAUGAUUUACUUUAUCAAAAGCUUUAUUAAAAUCUAUGUAUAUAACAUCAGUACGCUUAUUCUACCCUAAAGCCCGUUGAUACAUGUGAUACAAAUUCAAGCAAAUUAGUUACUGUAGAUUUCCCUUUACGAAAACCGUGCGGAGAACAUGAAAUUAGUGGAAAAAUCCGGAAGGUUAUGUAGUCUGUUAUAAUUGUUUCAAAAAGUUUAUGUAUUGCUGACAACUUUGAUAUUCCCCUAUAGUUUUCAAUAUAUGACCUAAAUCCACUCUUAUGCAAAGGAAUUAUAAAUGACUUUUUCCAGAUAUUUGGAAAUAAGCCUUGCUAAGUGGUGCAUUAAAUAGUUUUGAUAGGGAUUGGCAUGAGGAAAUCAUAUCUGGGCCAUAACUAAAUGAUUGUUCUAACAUAUUUAACUGAUAUAAGACUACUGCUUCGGAAAUGGUGGGUGCAUUAAUUACAGAAAUCGGACAUAACUUAUGCUGCUGCGGAUCAUUUUUUGGAGAGUAAUUGGACCUAAAGAAUUCAGCAAACAUAUUAGAAAUGUGUGAUUGUCACUAGACAUAGUAGACUCAUAUUUCAUAGCGGACGGAAAAUUAGAAAACUUGCGUUUGAGUUGACGAAACCAUAGAACAAUUUUGGAUUACGUAUAAUAUUUUUUUUUACUUUGUUUAUAUAAUUAUUAUAACAUAUUUUAUUAAGUUCAGCAAACUGUCGACGUAAUUUGGAAUAUUUUGAAUAGUCAACAACUAAACCCCAGUUUUUUUUUUAAGUUUAAAAGCACGAGAUUUUCUAUUUUUUAAUUUACAUUACUCUAGAACUCAUUCUUUGAGUAACAACACAUUUCGGAACAUAUUUUUCAAAUAAAUUUAAAAUAGUUUCAUUAAAAUGGGUAGCAAUAAAUUUAAUAUUGCCACUGUAAUCUGGCCAAGUUACUUUAGAAAGUUCGUAAUUAAUCUUCUUAAAAUUAGCUUUCGCAAAGUUGAACCGAGAACAAAGGUCAUGUGUAUUAUUAUGAACAAAGUUGGCUAUAUACAGUUCCUCAAAUAAUUGAUCGAACGUUUGCGGUGUGUUAACUUAUUCAAGGAUAAAAGAAAAAAUAAAACCAAAAUCAUAUCGAAAUAUUUUUUAUUAACAAAAGGAGAGGUUAACAUUUUCAAAACCCAAUGUAUAUUUCAUUCAAAAAGUGAAACAAAACAAAGCCACCCCUUGCUUGCAGAACUUAUUAGUUUCUGGCAGGCUUCUAUUGUGAUUUUUUUCCAGUGCGCUGUCACUUGUUGCCAAAGUGCGUCAAGGUUUCGGGGAAUUGAAUCACUACUUGCCAAGGAACUUUUGAGUUCUCCCAAAGGUGUUCUAUAGAACACUUGGAACCAACUUUUCGUAACUGUUACGGUAUGCUUGGGGUCAAUAUCCUGCUGAAAAGUUUAAUUUUCGACAGUGAGACCAUUGGCUCAAGCUAAGAGGUUUUGAUCGAAAAUAUGAAUAUAAUCGGAUGCGGUAAUUCGUCCUAGAAUCCUGUGACAUUUUCCGCCCCACUAUAAUUCAUACAACCCCAUAGCAUCAACGAACCACCACCAAAUUUAAGGGUUGCGAUAGUGGUUCACCUUUCCGGCACCACACCCACUGCCUCCCAUCUGAUCCAAAGCGAUUUAUUUUGGUCUCGUUAGACCAGAUCACUUUCUUCCAAUCUUCGAUUGUGAAACUUUUAUACUUUUUUGCAAAAUAUAGUCUCAAUUCUUUAUGGCGCUUUGUUAAAAAAGGUUUCUUAACCUUGGAGCGACCUUUCAAGCCAUGUUCGCGUAAGACGUUGCGAAUUGUUUCAUCACAAACGUUAAGCUGAUCAUUUUCCCGUAGCUGCUUAUUGAUUUCUACCGCAUUAUCACAUGCACCAGUCUUGAUUUGCCUAAUUAUUUUGCGUUUCAGUGAAUGAGACAGAAGACAUUUUCGUCCUGGCGACCGCUUUUUAGGCAAAUUUUCCAUUUUGUUACGUAUUAUGCUAAAGGUGGAUGUAGAGCAAUGAAUCCUGCGUGCUAUCUCACGGUGGGAAUGCCCUUCUCAUAAGAGAUUCUCUAUUAGACUUGUUGCUUCCUUUGAUAUCGGUUUAUAAAAAAAUUUUAUAAUAAUAACCUUUCAAUGUAAAAAAAUGAAAUGUAAUAAAUUUCUUUUGUUUCUACCGACAAAA
This is a long non-coding RNA of Bactrocera neohumeralis, 8095 nucleotides long. RefSeq lists it as uncharacterized. The record is from RefSeq and is a predicted model, not a curated record. The transcript has 2 exons. Lineage: Eukaryota; Metazoa; Arthropoda; Insecta; Diptera; Tephritidae.